This 2150-nucleotide long non-coding RNA is filed under the name Malus domestica (apple). RNAcentral's name for it is "long non-coding RNA (MDOM_LNC017070)". Lineage: Eukaryota; Viridiplantae; Streptophyta; Magnoliopsida; Rosales; Rosaceae. The record is from RNAcentral.
GGAGAAUACUCUAUGAUAUGAUUAAGAAUCUCUGGCCAGAGUAUGGAUGAGAUUUAGGAAGUCGUUCCAAAUCACAUUCAAGGUAAUCAUAUAAGCACACGAAUCACAUUGGAUAGUAGACAUGAAUAAACUAUCAAACCAAACAAUGUUGUCAAGAGUAUUGUAUUAGAGAAAGACCGUAUUGCAUUUGUAAUCCUAAACUGAAUAGAUUCUCCACCUCUUCUGAUUAGCUUGGGUAACCAUGAUAUACUGCUAGGUGUCACUCAUGGUUUGUGGAAGCCCUAAACGUGUAUAAUCACUAAAGGGAGAAUUGAAAGUAAGUUUCAAUUCACAAUCGAUUUGAAAUGGUUUUAAUCGCCCACUGCCUCGCUAAAUGGAACCUAAUGGAUCGUACACCGUGUAAGGUGGAGAUUGAAGAAACAAUGGAGAUGAGUGAGAAUAAUUAAAUGGUUUAAUUAUUUAUGGCAAGGAUUAAUUAAUAUAUUAAUUAAUCAAACGAAUAAGUUCGUUAAAGACCUCGGGAUAGUUUUGGGCCUCAAGGCCCAAUGGGCUUCGAAUUUCAAGCCCAUUGACUUAAGUUGUAUGACAACUUAAUGACAAAUAAUUCACAAUGGCCUUAAAAGCCCAAUGAAACCCUAUGGCCGGCCAUUUUGUUAAAGGAGUGGGGUUUUGGACUUAAUUACAAGUUUGCCACUCCAAUGAAUAAAGGUAUAAAUAUGACUUUAUAGCCAAAAUUCAUUUAGGGUUUUCUUUUGGGGAAAGGAUGAGAACAUAAGCUCUCAUUCUCUCUAAAGUGGCCGGCCUCCUUGUAGGGUUUAGCUAGCAAUCCUACUACUCCGAGGUCAGUCAUUUCUUCUCCAAUCUAACCUUGGUGAAGAGACUUAGAGGUUCUCAAUUUUGGGAACUUAGAGAACCAUUUCAUCCAUCCAAAUCCAUAGAUCUAAGAUGCAAGGAAUGAAGGCCCUCUCUUUGGGUGAUUAGCCUUUGCUUAUGCAAAGAGGAAUCUACAAAGGUAUAAUUUCUCAUCUAACAAAUGUUGUUUUAAGUUGAGUCAAGGUUCACCAAUCUACUAGGCUUUGAAUUUCAUGGUUAAUGUUUUGUUUUUAAGUGCAUACAAGCAUGAUUCCGCCUUUAAUUUGUUAAUUGCAUGCUAUAGAUGUUGCUUAAAUGAACAUGUUUUUCACAAAAUUUCCUUCAAGUGGUAUCAGAGCCUAGGUCUAGUAGUUAGUGAAUCCUUUUGGGUUUUGUAGUUCAUAGUCUUUGAUUUAAAUGUUGUAAUAUGUUACAAGCUUUAUUCUUGCUUCUUUGAAUGUAAAUUUUGUUAGAAAAUUUGCCAUCUCAAAUGUUGUAGAUGUAGUUCAUAUGAGCAUGAAUAUUGGAGCUAAAAUUUGGUGCCAUGUUUUUGGGGAUUUUCGGCCAAAUCCAAAGGGUGGAUUUUUGGGUUCAUGUUUGACUUGUUAAAAGUGUUUUCAAGUAACUUUUGGAACCCCUAUGUACCCUAGUUUGGUUAUAUGUUAUUUCCCUUAAGUUUGAAUGGUUUUGGGAUGUUUUUUGGUGAAAAAUGUUCAUGGAAAUUUUUGAGUUUUUUCAUGAGUGUUCUUCAUUGUUCCUGACAUUUUUGCCAAGAACAAAAAGUUUGGUGUUUUGAUUUAUUUCAUAAAGUUUUUGUUUUAUGUUUUUCUUAUGUUUAAAUGUAUUAGAUAUUUAUUUAGAAAGGUGUAAGAAAUAUUGGUGGGUGUGUAAGGAUUAAUUCCCUUUCACACACACCACUUGCAUGACAUUUAUGUCAUGCACCACUUGCAUGACUUUAUGUCUAAAACUACAAAUCAACACACACAUCACUCCCUUCUCUCCAAAAACCGGCCACCCUACAAGUGGGGUGUUUUUGGGGCUUUUAUGCAAUUACAUAAAGUUUUGGUACUUUUGUGUAUUUGCACUUUGGCCCAAAAGUUUACGUUUUUACGUUUAGGUCCAAAAACGCUAAAGGACAAAUUGUUUUGCUCCUUUAAUGAAGUUUUUGCAUUUGUUGAAAUUUUUGGGUUCUAGUUGUAAUUACAUGAAGUAGUGGACUUUUGUGUUUUUACAAAGUGACCCCAAAAGUUUAUGCUUUUGCAAUAUAGCCCAAAAGUUGAGGUUAUUGCAUUUUGGCC